AACUACAUAUUUAUGUAAAAACGUAAGCGUGUAUGGAAUGUAACGUAGUGAGCAUGAAAUGGUACGUCAGAUUUCUCAGAUUUGAUUAGUUUCCCGUACGUAUAUUUCAAUCCCGAUACCUAUUCUAUCGAUUUCUAUCCGCGCCAGUGUAAAAAUAAUAUUACGGUCUAUUACAGUCAUGUAGAAUGUCAUGUAGAACUAUACGUUAUUAAAUUUACGAAUUUAAUAACCGUUUAAGCUAAACAAUUAUUUUUUUUUAAAUAAUGCUUCAGAGCUACCAAUUUACCAGAAAAUUGAUUCAUUGAUAGGAUAAAGUGAAUAACGUUAGAUUUUUCUGCUUUUAAGCUUCUUCAGCAUUUCAAGCAAUUGAGAAGAUACAUACCGGCUAGCGUUCUGCGGUGUCACAACAUGAUGCUGUCGGCUUUCCAUAUCAGUUUUGGGAUCUGGAAUUCUAGUAUGCUCCUCUG
Long non-coding RNA from Drosophila miranda, 467 nucleotides. RefSeq lists it as uncharacterized. The record is from RefSeq and is a predicted model, not a curated record. The transcript has 3 exons. NCBI's taxonomy places the organism in Eukaryota, Metazoa, Arthropoda, Insecta, Diptera, Drosophilidae.